UGAGGAAUAUUGGUCAAUGGGUGCAAGCCUGAACCAGCCAUCCCGCGUGAAGGACGACUGCCCUAUGGGUUGUAAACUUCUUUUGUAUAGGGAUAAACCUACCCUCGUGAGGGUAGCUGAAGGUACUAUACGAAUAAGCACCGGCUAACUCCGUGCCAGCAGCCGCGGUAAUACGGAGGGUGCAAGCGUUAUCCGGAUUUAUUGGGUUUAAAGGGUCCGUAGGCGGACUUACAAGUCAGUGGUGAAAGCCUGUCGCUUAACGAUAGAACUGCCAUUGAUACUGUAAGUCUUGAGUAUAUUUGAGGUAGCUGGAAUAAGUAGUGUAGCGGUGAAAUGCAUAGAUAUUACUUAGAACACCAAUUGCGAAGGCAGGUUACCAAGAUAUAACUGACGCUGAGGGACGAAAGCGUGGGGAGCGAACA
This 422-nucleotide ribosomal RNA is filed under the name uncultured bacterium. Its description in RNAcentral is "bacterial SSU rRNA". It matches the Rfam family "Bacterial small subunit ribosomal RNA", at positions 355 to 774 of the family's 1533-position model. The record is from RNAcentral.